CAGUCGCCGCGGGAAUACGUAGGUGGCAAGCGUUGUCCGGAAUUAUUGGGCGUAAAGCGCGCGCAGGCAGAUAGGUCAGUCUGUCUUAAAAGUUCGGGGCUUAACCCCGUGAUGGGAUGGAAACUGCCAAUCUAGAGUAUCGGAGAGGAAAGUGGAAUUCCUAGUGUAGCGGUGAAAUGCGUAGAUAUUAGGAAGAACACCAGUGGCGAAGGCGACUUUCUGGACGAAAACUGACGCUGAGGCGCGAAAGCCAGGGGAGCGAACGGGAUUAGAUACCCCUGUAGUCCCUGUCUCUUAUACA
This 301-nucleotide ribosomal RNA is filed under the name uncultured bacterium. RNAcentral's name for it is "partial 16S ribosomal RNA". It matches the Rfam family "Bacterial small subunit ribosomal RNA", at positions 509 to 809 of the family's 1533-position model. The record is from RNAcentral.